GUCGCCUUCAAGGGAUUCCCCCUUAUUUUUCUAUCCAGGGGUAGAAAAGAUCACCUGGAUACAUUGUUUUAUCCAGAAUUGGUUUAUUUCCCGGGGGAGACAGGUGGAAACAGAGUUCUCCUCCUGGGUCCCCAGCUGUUUGUAGUCAUAUUCCUUUACUCCCACACAAUGUGGUUAUGGAUUUCACUUUUGGCAGAUGCAUUUUAUUAAAAAUAUUGGCUAAUCAGUAACUUGUUAAAGGCAUACACCAGAAGGUUUGCUUUUGUUUAAUAAAGCAAUAAGAUAAAAUGAUGAUGGAGAGUCAAUCCUGGACUCCAGCGUUCAUCGAACCGCAUUUCCUUACAGGCUGAGCCAGCACCACUGGGAGGCCUGCAUUCUGUCAUCACACACUCAUCCUGUAAUACAUGAAAUAACUUCUAAAACAUCUCAACGGGCUACGAAGAUCUUCUAAAUAUUUUUAAAGCUCCAAAGGAUUAGAAUCGUCUGAAAUAAUGUUUCCCUUCCUGAAACUUGCUUCAUUUUGGUUCUAACCAUUCGUUCAACAUCAGUAUUAAUUUAUUGAUUCUGAAAAGGGAAGAAGAAAUCUUCAUGAGUAAGUGUGUAAGUGUGUGCUGCUUUACCAGCAUGAUAUAUUGUGUCCACUACCUCAAGGUGAGGGGGGCGAAAUCUGGCACUUAUCUAGCAUCAUCUUAUUUGCACUGUUCAGUAGCUAUCAACCCUGGUUCUCUACUGGUAUCACCUGGAGAAAUUUUGAAAAACAAAUGCUCGAACUUUGCCCCUAGAAAUUCAGAUUUAGUGAAUACAAAGGCUACCUCAGCCCACUGAGAAAAUGAGAUGCACAGCUUAGGUUGAGAACUAAUUGUGUGGACAGCAAAACUGGUGUAUUAGGCUCUCUAAAACUUACUUAAAAAAAUUAGUUUGCUCCCAGGUCUCUCUUCUCUCCUCCCUGCCUGCAAGGACACUAAGCAUCUGUGCUCAACCCUUCUUAUCAAAUCCCACUGGCUUAGACUAUUUCCCUCCAUCAAACUCCUGCUGGGGUUACUAUAGCAUCGCUCAUCCGUUUGAGGUUUAUGUACAGUGUGUGCAUGCAUGUGUGGGUGUGUCCCCAAGAGAACUACAAUUCUUUAUGGAGAGGGAUGACAUCUUUAUGUUCACCAUGCACCAUUCUAGCCAAGUGCAGUUCAUAUAACAGGUACUCAGUAAAAAAGGAUGUUUCAAAAGUACGUAAGUAAUUUGGAUAAUCAUAAGACAUUUAUAAACACAGAAAUAAAACGAUUUAUGUUAUUCAUAAUGAAGCCAUUAGCUUAUAUUGGUGGCUAAUAUUCAACACGGUAAACACAAGAAUUUAAGAAACUUAUGGGUUUCAAAGUGUUCCUUAGAAAAUAGUCCAAGGCAAAAACAAUCUUAAGAAUUGCAACCACAUGCGGAAUGUCAUCAAGGCUUUAUGGGACUCUGUAUUAGUUAUCUUGGGCUGUCAUACAAAAUAUCACAGAUUGCAUGGCUUAAACAACCAAAAUUUAUUUUCUCACAGUUCUGGAGGCUGGGAAGUCAAGAUCAAGGUGCUGGCUGAUUUGGUCCCCGGUGAAGGAUCACCUCCUGCCAUGCUGAUGGCCACUUUCUCACUGUGUCCUCACGGUUGCGGAGGGCGGACACAAUUCAGUCCAUAGCAGAAUCUUUCCACAGUAUCUCUGUCCAGCAGUCAUCCAGCCUUUACAUCAAUGAUUCUAGUGGUGAGAAAUCAGUACCUGGCAAUACUUCAUCAUGGGAGAGC
Equus caballus (horse) is the source of this 1771-nucleotide long non-coding RNA. NCBI's taxonomy places the organism in Eukaryota, Metazoa, Chordata, Mammalia, Perissodactyla, Equidae. The record is from Ensembl.